This 709-nucleotide long non-coding RNA is filed under the name Astyanax mexicanus (Mexican tetra). RNAcentral describes it as "lncRNA (ENSAMXG00005020990.1)". Lineage: Eukaryota; Metazoa; Chordata; Actinopteri; Characiformes; Acestrorhamphidae. The record is from RNAcentral.
AGAGCCAAGACCGACUGAGAGGAACAUCUUUUACUAUCAGUUCUGCCUGUGUUUUGAAAGUCUCAGAAAGUGAAAGUAAGAGAGAACAUGCAACCCUAUACCACUCUCCCUCUCCUGGCUGUGCUCAUCACUGUGGUAAAUGGAGGUGAAAUCCAGGUGGAGCUGAGGACUGAAAAGUCUGUGUCGAAUGACUGUCACGAAAACGCUACUCUUCAUUGUAUCAUCAUAUCAAAAGGCAGCGAUUUCAUGGUUUUUGGGCUAUACUGGGAGAAUAAGACUGGAGAACAACUCUGCAACUAUAAAACAUCCGAAGGAGUACACUCUGAUCCUCGCAUCCAGUGCCAUUAUACGCCUGGAAAACUGUCCCUCACCAUCUCCAAUCUAUCUGAAGCUGAUCGGGGACAGUACAGCUGCAAAUUGUUUACAAACUUCAAUCAUACAAAGGCUGACACCACCCUGCAUGUCUCAGGUGAGUAUUUAAAGUUCAUGCAGUGACUCGGGAAGAGGGGCAUGCGGUUGAGGUUUGGGAGGAUUAAUAAGGAACCUGUGGGAUGUGGUUGGUGUAGCUUUGUGGGUAACAACUUUGCCUUCUUAUGGUGAAUUCUGAGGUGAUCCUGUGCUACAAAAUGUUAGCAGCUACAGUCGUGUGAGUUUUUUUACCCUCUACCGACCUCAUCAUUCGCAAUAAAAUUCACUCUUAACAAGAGCA